This 251-nucleotide ribosomal RNA is filed under the name uncultured bacterium. RNAcentral describes it as "partial 16S ribosomal RNA". It matches the Rfam family "Bacterial small subunit ribosomal RNA", at positions 524 to 776 of the family's 1533-position model. The record is from RNAcentral.
UACGUAGGGUGCAAGCGUUAAUCGGAAUUACUGGGCGUAAAGCGUGCGCAGGCGGUGAUGUAAGACAGGUGUGAAAUCCCCGGGCUUAACCUGGGAACUGCAUUUGUGACUGCAUCGCUGGAGUGCGGCAGAGGGGGAUGGAAUUCCGGCGUGUAGCAGUGAAAUGCGUAGAUAUGCGGAGGAACACCGAUGGCGAAGGCAAUCCCCUGGGCCUGCACUGACGCUCAUGCACGAAGCGUGGGAGCAACAGG